RNAcentral lists this long non-coding RNA (3717 nucleotides) under Lactuca sativa (garden lettuce). Its description in RNAcentral is "long non-coding RNA (LSAT_LNC007610)". The stretch from base 1538 to 1632 matches the Rfam family "Small nucleolar RNA SNORD96 family". Lineage: Eukaryota; Viridiplantae; Streptophyta; Magnoliopsida; Asterales; Asteraceae. The record is from RNAcentral.
AACUUCAACCUUCAUAUUUAUCAAAGAACAAAAGAGAAGUAGAGAUCAGUCUUUGUAACCAACAAGUUAACUGACUCAAAUCCAUGAAACCAUUGUGUCCUCAAGAUUAACAUGAGGGCAUUUGAGGUUUUAUCAGAUCAAGAGUCAGUAGAUGAAAACAAGACCUACUACAUUGAUGGUUGCUCUUUGCAUCCAUAACAAUUAGUGGAGGAGAAAGAGUGUAUCCUCAAGAGGAAGAGGAUUUUCUCCUAACUAUCCCUAUUGAUGGCCCAGACCAGCAUAUGUCUAAUGUGGAGUACCAAACUAUCCUUCGUUACCGCCUCAUGAUUCCUCUAUUCUCGAUUGACGAGAUAUGCCUAGUUUGCUGCAAGGCAUUUUGGAUACAUGUAGGGAACAUGCAGUUCUUUGUACCUACAUGAUGUGGUUAGGGAUGUUCUCUUUGAUGUUUGUCGGCUGCUGAUAUUUUCGUGAAGAAAGAAAUGUUAGUGAACUUUUUGACGGACCCACUGGAUGGAAGAUCCACACUCAGGCCGACUGACAUUUUGGUCUUUAGAUAUGUAGGAGGGAAGCACGCUUGUGUGGAUCUUAUUGGGGUCUCCCCUUUCGUCGGUUUGAGAUGCGGGGGUUUCACAGUAGAGCAUGUCGCUUUGAAAGCUGCUGCAUGCAAAGUGGCAAAGCACGAGAAUGCAUGCAUAGAAAAUCACAUGUGCUUAUACCUUUUGCAUUUGAUACUUUUGGUUUUAUCGAACCAAAGACGAUGAAACUCCUCAACAAAGUUUAACAGAUCAUGCAUUAUAAUGUUAUAUCUUCAACAUCCACGUAUGUUGUUUUCAAAAGAAUUAGUUUUGUCAUUCAGAAAAAUUUAAUAACACAACUUAUUGUCCAUUUGCUUUCCGUCUAUAUGCAAUGAUUUUUUUUUUUUUUUAUCAUCAAUUUAAAUUGGAAUUUGAUUUAUUCAAAUGUAUUAUUUUCAAAACAAAUCAAAUGGUUAACAUUGAUUUACUCAAGUAAGCCGAUACAAGCCCAUUGGGUCAAAAGAACGGGGUUCAUCCAUUGAUUCCAUUCUAUGAUUAUAUCCUAACACCAUCUGACGGCUCACAAAGCAUCACCAUCAUCACAAAGACCUCCAUCCUUCUCUUAUAAUAAGCCUCUUCACCUCGCCACAUCAACAAGUAACCCUAGCUAAACAUACAACCAUCAUCAAGUCACACCCCCUUCAACCCUCUCAAAUCUAGGGUUUUUUUUUUGUCUAAAUUUCAAAUGUCAAGACAUCAUAGAUUUGUAGCUCUCGUAGCCGACGAUUUACAAAAAUUUGGGGCGAAAUAGUUGAUGUUCGUAAAACUCAAUGGUAAAUCGUCGCAAAUCGAGCCGUCUCUGUGAUCACAGCGGUUGAGCCGCCCUUCGCCGGGCGGUUCCCGUUAACCGGAGAAGGCGUUGUCACAUCCUAUCGCCUUGGGGAGCGGAGUCUCUGCAAUUACCUCUUGGGAUUGGCCGUGAGAAAGACAUUCACUAAUCGUUUGAAUUCCAUACUUGAAAUCGGCCUGUGAUGAAAUCUAUUUAAAAGAACACCAUCUUUCGGGACUGAAUGGUCUUUCUCGAGAUCUUGAUGUCAAUUCUGCAAUUCUGAGGCCAUUUUUCUGUGAUUUUUUUUUAAUUUAAAAUGUUGUAACAAAUGCGUACUGUAUUUGAAUUCGAAUGUGGAUUCAAGUACCAAUAAUCAUCAUUCAUCAAAUUCCUUUUGCUAUCAGAAUGAAGAAUUUUUUCAAACAAUAUGAACACUUUCCUGAAUUUCUGUCUUUCAUAAAAUGCAUCGAUGAAACUCUGAAUUCUCAAUUGAUAGCUUGUUUGUUACCGAUUAUUUACAAAAUGUUUGGGGCAAGUUAGUUUAUAUUAGAAUAGUAUGUCCUUUUGGGCUAUUAAAUGAUCCCAUGUUAAUAUUUUAGAGCACAAUGCACAAAAUCAAAUUUAUGCAUGAACAAAUCCGGUGUCGUUUUCCUCAAGCUUUCGUGAUUUCACCAUCAUAUUACAUGUAUAUCAAAGUGAAUGUUUCCAUAUCCAUUUUUGAUUAAAUGUUUAUUGCAUAAUAGCAUUGAAAAUGUAGACACUGUGUAGAAAAUGGACUUUUAGGUUAAAAAGCAUUCCCAAACGCCACUAAAAGCAAAUACUUUAUUUAAAACAAAGCCUAAAACAUAUUCAUGCUUUAAACAAAUACUUUUACUUUAAUGAAUCAGAAAUAUUAUGAAUUUAAGUAGGCAUGUUUACUUGUAUAUAUAACUAUUAACAUUUUAAUAAUAUUUUUAUUUGUUCACUUUGGGUUUAGCGGCCUUGAAGGUUGUAUCUUUGAAUAUAGUUGUAUUAUCUUUUUUAGAAUUUUGUAGCUUUGUUUGUGGUUAAUGGUGCCAUUAGAAAUUUGAAGUAUACUACCUAAACAACAUUAGGAGUUGGAUCAUUUUUUGUUAGAAUGUCUAAUAACCGUAGAUCACAAACAUCUCUUACCAUCUUUUUUGCCAUAAAAAAGGUUGUUUGUGAUUUGGAGUGGUUAGACAUGAAAGACGAUCAAUUCCAUGUUUGCUUGAUUUGAAGUCUAUAUAUAAUUUCUAAGACCAUCCAUAUGAAAUCAAUGAAUGAGUUUAAUGAGUUGAAAUGUCUAGUUAUAAUUUCUAAGACCAUCUUAUUGUGAUGUAAUUUUAUCGUAAUGAGAUUUUAUCUCGAUAGAUUUGGAGGUUAAUGGUCAUUGAGUUAUUUAAUGAAAAAAGGAAAAGUUUUUUAAUUUUAAAUAUUUAUUAUAAAUCAAUUUUUGUAUCUUUUUAUUGAAAUUUGUAGAGUUUAAUGCAUAAUAGGAUAAGAUGAUAGAGUUAUAUGGAGUGUAAAAAAAUUAUGUGAUAUUCCAUUAAGUUUUAUGGACUUCAAUGCAUUGUGGAUACCAUAAGACUUCAAAGCAAGUGUGAAAGUCUAUGUGGCAUCCCAAGGGAAGCUUCAAAUCAAGUGUGGAUAACUUGAUGCUUCAAAUCAAGUGUGAAAGUCUAUGUGGCAUCCCAAGGGACGUUGGAACCCCCAAGGGUCUAGUUUGGCAUCUCCAUGAGGACGAAUGAAAACACCUUAUAAGAAAUUAGCGGCAACAUCGAUCAUUCUUUUUUUUUUCUUUUUUCUUUCUACCUCUUCACCACCAAUCUACCGGCGAACAUCAUUUCUACUACCUAGUCGAUUAGUUGUGGAAUGGUAAAAAAUCUAUGUGACCGUAGGGUUGUGCCAUUUGCGACUUCGGCAUUUGAAUUGUGAAGAUACAAACAAGUAAAGUAGGGUUGUGCAUUGUGGGUUGUAUGUUCGCAGAUGGAAUUCAAUUUGUUACUAUUUUUUUGUACACAUAAAGAUAGUUCUUGUAGCCGACGAUUUACAAAAUAUUGGGGCGAAAUAGUUGAUAUUCGUAAAACUCAAUGGUAAAUCGUUGCAAAUCUAGCCGUCUUUGUGAUCACAGCGGUUGAGCCGCCCUUUGCCGGGCAGUCCCCGUUAACCGGAGAAGGCGUUGUCACAUCCUAUCGCCUUGGGGAGCGGAGUCUCUGCAAUUACCUCUUGGGAUUGGCCGUGAGAAAGACAUUCACCAAUCGUUUAAAUUCCAUACUUGAAAUCGGCCUGUGAUGAAAUCUAUUUAAAAGAACACCAUCUUUCGGGACUGAAUGGUCUUUCUCGAGAUCUUGAUGUCAAUUCUGCAAUUCUGAG